This 67-nucleotide transfer RNA is filed under the name Tessaromerus quadriarticulatus. Its description in RNAcentral is "tRNA-Leu". Lineage: Eukaryota; Metazoa; Arthropoda; Insecta; Hemiptera; Urostylididae. The record is from RNAcentral.
AUUACUUUGGCAGAAUAUAAUGCAUUAAAUUUAGAAUUUAAUUAUGUAAUUAAUAUUACAUGUAAUU